This 429-nucleotide ribosomal RNA is filed under the name Gemmatimonadota bacterium. RNAcentral describes it as "Gemmatimonadetes bacterium partial 16S ribosomal RNA". It matches the Rfam family "Bacterial small subunit ribosomal RNA", at positions 355 to 776 of the family's 1533-position model. The record is from RNAcentral. Lineage: Bacteria; Pseudomonadati; Gemmatimonadota.
UAGGGAAUCUUCGGCAAUGGACGAAAGUCUGACCGAGCAACGCCGCGUGAGUGAAGAAGGUUUUCGGAUCGUAAAACUCUGUUGUUAGAGAAGAACAAGGACGUUAGUAACUGAACGUCCCCUGACGGUAUCUAACCAGAAAGCCACGGCUAACUACGUGCCAGCAGCCGCGGUAAUACGUAGGUGGCAAGCGUUGUCCGGAUUUAUUUGGCGUAAAGCGAGCGCAGGCGGUUUCUUAAGUCUGAUGUGAAAGCCCCCGGCUCAACCGGGGAGGGUCAUUGGAAACUGAGAGACUUGAGUGCAGAAGAGGAGAGUGGAAUUCCAUGUGUAGCGGAGAAAUGCGUAGAUAUAUGGAGGAACACCAGUGGCGAAGGCGGCUCUCUGGUCUGUAACUGACUCUGAGGCUCGAAAGCGUGGGGAGCAAACAGG